Long non-coding RNA from Lolium rigidum, 443 nucleotides. RefSeq lists it as uncharacterized. The transcript has 3 exons. Lineage: Eukaryota; Viridiplantae; Streptophyta; Magnoliopsida; Poales; Poaceae. The record is from RefSeq and is a predicted model, not a curated record.
CCUCACGCGACGAAUUGAUAAAAAGACAAUAUUUUGGUUAUCCAUGCAAUCCUACAAUUGAAUGCAGUAUUUUGCUCAUCCAUGAGAAGCAACCAAAGAUCAUACAUCAGCUGCAGAGCUCCGAUGUCUCCAUCCCCGCCUGCACGGUGCCGCCUCUAUCCUCUGCCCCUCUUCUUGGUGCAUAGUGGCCAGCUGGUCGGACGCUUUUGAUUGCUGGCCUCCGAUUUGAGGUAAAAAUGUUUUGAGGUGUAGAUCGCAAAUGGAAGAACCACGGCGCACAUAAAAACUAAGGGCACUAUCAUGUUUUAAGAUGAAGAUACCCUUAUUUCCUGCGGUGGCUUGGGAAGGGAGUGAGACCGUGACUUGAUAGGUAAAAGGCCAGAGAAACAGCGUUGCGUCUACUCCCAGUGUAGAGAUCUUCCAUGGAGAUGCAGGGCCGAGGU